UUAGGGUUUAGGGUUUAGGGCUUAGGGCUUAGGGCUUAGGGCUUAGGGUUUUAGGGGUUUUAGGGGUUUUAGGGUUUUUAGGGUUUUUAGGGGUUUUAGGGUUUUUAGGGUUUUUAGGGUUUUUGGUUUAGGGUUUAGGGUUUAGGGUUUAGGGUUUUAGGGUUUAGGGUUUAGGGUUUAGGGUUUUAGGGUUUUAGGGUUUAGGGUUUUAGGGUUUUAGGGUUUAGGGUUUAGGGUUUUAGGGUUUUAGGGUUUAGGGUUUUAGGGUUUUAGGGUUUAGGGUUUUAGGGUUUAAAACGGGUUUGGGUUUAGGGUUUCAGAGGUUUUAGGGUUUAAGGGUUUAGGGUUUUAGGGUUAGGGUUUAGGGUUUUAGGGUUUUAGGGUUUAGGGGUUUUAAGGGUUCAGGUUUUAGGGUUUUAGGUUUUAGGGUUUUAGUGGUUAGGGUUUAGGGGGUUUCAGGGUUUAGGUUUAGGGUUUAGCGGUUUUGGGUUUUAGGUUUAGGGUUUAGGGUUUAGGGUUUAUGGGUUUUACGGGUUUAGGUUUAGGGUUUAGGGUUUAGGGUUUAGGGUUUAGGUUUUAGGGUUUUAGGGUUUUAGGGUUUAGGGUUUAGGGUUAGGGGUUUAGGGUUAGGGUUUUAGGUUAAGGGUUUAGGGUUUUUAGGGUUUUAGGGUUUUAGGGGUUUUAGGGUUUAGGGGUUUAGGGUUGUAGGGUUUAGGUUUAGGUUUAGGGUUUGGGUUUAGGGUUUAGGGUUUAGGGUUCCUAGGUUAGGGUUUAGGGUUUAGGGUUUAGGUGUAGGGUUUUUAAGGGUUUGAGGUUAGGGUUUAGGGUUAGGGUUUAGGGUUUAAGGGUUUAGGUUUAGGGUUUAGGGUUUAGGGUUUAGGGUUUCAGGUUUAGGGUUUAGGGUUUAGGGCGUUUUUUUAGGGUUUAAGGGUUUAAGGGUUUAGGGUUAGGGUUUAGGUUUAGGGUUUAGGGUUUAGGGUUUAGGGUUUAGGGUUUUAGGGUUUAGGGUUUUUAGGGUUUGGGUUUAGGUUUAGGGUUUUCACCGGGUUUUAGGGUUUUAGGGUUUAGGGUUUUAGGGUUUAGGGUUUAGGGUUUAGGGUUUUACGGGUUUAGGGUUUAGGGUUUAAAGGGUUUACGGGGUUUAGGGUUUAGGAGUUUAAGGGUUUAGGGUUUAGGUUUAGGUUUAGGGGUUAGGGUUUAGGUGGUUUUAGGGUUAGGGUUUAGGGUUUAGGGUUUAGGGUUUAGGGUUUAGGGUUUUAGGGUUAGGUUUAGUUUAGGUUAGGUUUAGGGUUUAGGGUUUAGGGUUUAGGGUCUUAGGGUUCAGGCGUUUUAGGGUUUUAGGGUUUAAGGUUUACGGGUUUAAGGGUUUAGGGUUUAGGGUUUAGGGUUUAGGUUUAGGGUUUUAGGGUGUAGGGUUUCAGGGUUAGGGUUUAGGGUUUAGCGGUUGUUAGGUUUUAGGUUUGAGGGCUUUAGGGGUUAGGGUUUAGGUUUAGGGUUUAGGGUUUAGGGUUUAGGGGUUAGGGGUUUAGGGUUUAGGGUUUAGGGUUAGGGUUAGGGUUUAGGGUUUAGGGUUUAGGGUUUAGGGUUUAGGGUUUUAGGGUUUAGGGUUUUGGGUUUAGGGUUUAGGGUUUAGGGUUUAGGGUUUAGGGUUUAGGGUUUUGUUAGGGUUUAGGGUUUAGGGUUUAGGGUUUAGGGUUUAGGGUUUAGGUUUAGGGUUUAGGGUUUAGGGUUUAGGGUUUAGGGUUUAGGGUUUAGGGUUUAGGGUUUAGGGUUUUAGGGUUUAGGUUUAGGGUUGUAGGGUUUAGGGUUUAGGGUUUAGGGUUUAGGGUUUAGGGUUUAGGAGUUUAGGGUUUAGGUUUAGGGUUUAGGGUUUAAGGGUUUAGGGUUUUAGGGUUUAGGGUUUAGGGUUUAAGGGUUUAGGGUUUAGGGUUUAGGGUUUAGGGUUUAGGGUUUAGGGUUAGGGUUUAGGUUUAGGGUUUAGGGUUUAGGGUUUAGGGUUUUAAGGGUUUAGGGUUUAGGUGGUUUAGGGUUUAGGGUUUAGGGUUUAGGGUUUUAGGGUUUAGGGUUUAGGGUUUAGGGUUUAGGGUUUAGGGUUUAGGGUUUAGGGUUUUUAGGGUUUAGGGUUUAGGGUUUUAGGGUUUAGGGUUUAGGGUUUUAGGGUUUAGGGUUUAGGGUUUAGGGUUUAGGGUUUAGGGUUUAGGUUAGGGUUUAGGGUUUAGGGUUUAGGGUUUUAGGGUUUAGGGUUUAGGGUUUAGGGUUUUUAGGGUUUAGGGUUUUUAGGGUUUUAGGGUUUAGGGUUUAUUAGGGUUUAGCGGUUUAGGUUUAGGGUUUGGGUUAGGGUUUAGGGUUUAGGGUUUAGGGUUUAGGGUUUAGGGUUUAGGGUUUAGGGUUUAGGGUUAGGGUUUAGGGUUAGGGUUAGGGUUUAGGUUUAGGGUUUUAGGGUUUUUAGGGUUUAGGGUUUUAGGGUUUUAGGUUUAGGGUUUAGGGUUUAGGGUUUAGGGUUUAGGGUUUUAGGGUUUAGGGUUUAGGGUUUAGGGUUUUAGGGUUUUUAAGGGUUUAGGGUUUAGGUUUGGGUUUGGGUUAGGGUUAGGGUUUAGGUUUGGUUAGGGUUUUAGGGUUUAGGGUUUAGGGUUUAGGGUAGGGUUAGGGUUAGGGUUUAGGUUUGGUUUAGGUUUAGGGUUUAGGGUUUAGGUUUUAGGGUUAGGGUUUAGGUUUGUUUAGGGUUAGGUUUUAGGGUUUAGGGUUUAGGUUUAGGUUUAGGGGUUUUUAGGGUUUAGGGUUUAGGGUUUAGGGUUUAGGGUUUUAGGGUUUAGGGUUUAGGGUUUAGGGUUUAGGGUUUAGGGUUUAGGGUUUAGGUUUUAGGGUUUAGGGUUUAGGGUUAGGGUUUUAGGGUUAGGUUUAGGUUUAAGGUUUAGGGUUUAGGUUUAGGGUUUAGGGUUAGGGUUUUAGGGUUUAGGUUUAGGGUUUAGGGUUUAGGGUUUAGGGUUAGGGUUUAGGGUUAGUUAGGUUUAGGGUUUAGGGUUUUAGGGUUUAGGUUUAAAGGGUUUAGGGCUUUUAAGGUUUAGGGUUUAGGCGUUUUGGUUAAGGGGUUUAGGGUUAAGGGUUUAGGGGUUGGUUGUUAUUAGGGUUAGGUUUUAGGGUUAGGGUUUUAAGGGUUUAAGGUUUUAGGUUUAGGGUUUAAGGGUUGAAGGGGUUUAGGUUUACGGUUUAGGGUUCUAGGGUUUUUAGGGUUUUAGGUUUUAAGGUUUAGGGUUUAGGGUUAGGGUUUAGGGUUUAGGUUUUAGGUUUAGGGUUUAGGGUUUUAGGGUUUUUAUGGGUUUACGGGUUUAGGGGUUUUAGGUUUAGGGUUUACGGGUUUAAGGGUUUUAGGGUGUUAGGGGAGGGGUUUUUUAGGGUUUUAGGGUUUAGGGUUUAGGGUUUGGUUUUAGGGUUUAGGGUUUAGGGUUAGGGUUAGGGUUUUUAGGGUUUAAGGGUU
Molecule: long non-coding RNA, 3475 nt
Filed under: Ananas comosus (pineapple)
Lineage: Eukaryota; Viridiplantae; Streptophyta; Magnoliopsida; Poales; Bromeliaceae
Description: long non-coding RNA (ACOM_LNC023821)
Source: RNAcentral